RNAcentral lists this ribosomal RNA (166 nucleotides) under uncultured bacterium. Its description in RNAcentral is "partial 16S ribosomal RNA". It matches the Rfam family "Bacterial small subunit ribosomal RNA", at positions 1334 to 1500 of the family's 1533-position model. The record is from RNAcentral.
GCUAGUAAUCGCGGAUCAGCAUGCCGCGGUGAAUACGUUCCCGGGCCUUGUACACACCGCCCGUCACACCAUGAGAGUCGGGAACACCCGAAGUCCGUAGUCUGACCGCAAGGGGGACGCGGCCGAAGGUGGGUUCAUAAUUGGGGUGAAGUCGUAACAAGGUACC